Molecule: long non-coding RNA, 1724 nt
Organism: Oncorhynchus gorbuscha (pink salmon)
Lineage: Eukaryota; Metazoa; Chordata; Actinopteri; Salmoniformes; Salmonidae
Exons: 3
Source: RefSeq, a predicted model, not a curated record
UGAGGGGUCCCUUGCAUUCCAGGAGCACGGUGUGCUUAUUGUUUUGGUGUUUCAAAUUAAAUCUGAUAGUACAUCCUGCAAUAACAACUUUUUAGUCAUGCUGCACAAUUUUCAAUGGAUCAGUAUUGAUUGAACCAUAUUUAACUAGGCAAGUGAGUUAAGAACAAAUUCUUAUUUACAAUGACGGCCUACCCCGGAACGGUGGGUUAAUUGCCUUGUUCAUGGGCAGAACAACAUAUUUUUACCUUGUCACCUCGAGGAUUUGAUCCAGUAACCUUUUGGUUAGUGGCCCAACGCUGUAACCACUAGGCUACCUGCCACUACAAGUAUUUACAGUCCAAAUAUAUAGAAACAUUUAUUUGGGAUUCUUUGGCGUCACAUUUUGGUUUCCACUUUGUCUUUUACCCAUGGCUGUGCCACAGUUGUGUGGUUGCACCCUGACAGUGGCAAGUGGCAAGCAGGUCAUCCUGAUUGGUAUAAUUGGUAAGUGUGUGUUUUUUAAGGACUACUUCUAUUCACAUUUAUAAAGAAUGUAAUUAAUUACUUCUAAUAAUUACUCCUGAUUCAGGGUGCUACAACCUGUCCCUUCCUGCUCUGAACUGCUCCGGGUGGCACACCCUGAUCUGUUUCACCUGUCUUUGUGUUUGUUGCCACCCCCCUCCAGGUUUCACCCAUCUUCCCCAUUAUCCCCAGUGUAUUUAUAUCUGUAUUCUCUGUUUGUUUGUUGCCAGUUCGCCUGUCUUUUUCUAGUUCCUGUUUCCCGGUUUUGACCAUUCUGCCUUCCCUGAGCCUGCCUGCCGUUCUGUACCUUGUCACACCAGCCUGGAUUUUUGACCUCUCCCUGCGCUGACCCUGAGACUGCCAGCUGUUCUGUACCGUAUGGACUCUGAUCUGAAUUACUGACCUCUGCCUGCCCUUAACCUGUCGUGUCGCCUGCCCCCUGUUCUAGUAAACUUGUGUUACUUUGACACUCUUUGCAUCUGGGUAUUCUCCUGAAACAUGUUACCCGGGUGUCUGAGACAAUGGACAGUGGGGCUGGAUGAAUUUUGUAAAGAGUGGCUACCGGCCAGGCUCCGUGACUCACCAGACCAUCUUCACAGUGGACCACUUCAAGUCUUUUGAAGACAUGAAGGUGUUGGCCCCAGGAUGCUCCUGUCAAGCCUUUGUGGGAAUGCUUGACGGAAGAACAAAGCACUUUGACAGGUGUAAAGAUAUGUGGCGACACGUUCCAGAAAGCAUUCCUCGAGUGGACAUAUGGAGGUUUGAAAUAGACAAGCUUUGUGGAAGCGAUCUCCUACAUUGUCCUGAUGCAUGCUAUAUCAGUGGAUGGGAAUCGCAAGCAAUACUGCUUUCGGAAAGCCUCAGGACACACAGAGGUUGGAGCAACAUGGUCAGAUGUUUGGGAUUUAAACCAGCAACCCACCUCUCUAGGCUAUGUGAAUGUUGAGAAGGGCUUCUAUGAUGUCUUCCUGGAGAAACAAGAUGAUGUGUCAUCCUUCAUCAAACAUGUCCAUACAAAGACCAAUCAUUCUCAGUUUCUAUAACACUGCUUAAUGUCACCCAGUUUAGAGCUUGUUUCUUUUAAAGUUGAUAUCUGCACUUCACUGUGAUUUUAAUGUUGUAGACGCCAGGCAAAGGAGUGUGUGGUACAUCAGAGUGGACAGCGGCCAAAGACGUCAGGAAAAUUGUUUGCCAAAGUAGAGGAGGGCCUUGAUAGCAGUUUG